This 3331-nucleotide unclassified non-coding RNA is filed under the name Orbicella faveolata. Its description in RNAcentral is "uncharacterized LOC110055241, transcript variant X4". The record is from RNAcentral. Lineage: Eukaryota; Metazoa; Cnidaria; Anthozoa; Scleractinia; Merulinidae.
GUGGAAGUUCGAUCCCAUUUUCGUCCUCAGUCGUGUUUCGAUAACUUGACACUGAUAAAAUUACACAGUACAGGUAAUCGAAAUGCAAGUUUAGUUCGUAUUCGAGAUUUACUUUUAUAAAAUAACUGAGCUACUACUCGCGCUCUCAUUGGUAGAUAGGUGUGUUUACAUGAGAGUAUGUAAACACGGUUGUGUCGUUUCAGAUAAUGGAGUUGAUUUUAAGUCUUUUUUUUCUUUACUGAUAUCAGGCCUGAAAGAAGAAUUUACAUUAUCGAUAAACUCUAUUACAAUCGAUAUCUUGAGAUGACAGCAAGCGCUUUGUGUUCAGACCAAAACUUUUUUGACUUCGAGCUUUUUAUAGACUACAAAAAUAGUGUGCGCGAGAAUCACAUGAUCAAUCUCGAAAGUCACGCGAACGAUCGCGAAGGUCACGCUAUGCGGGUGUGGGAAGGUCACGCGAUCCAUGAUCCAGGUGUGAGAAGGUCUUUGAACUGGUCGCAUGUCAUGGCAUCAGUACCGAUCUCUUGUCAAAACAGAGAUGGAAGACAAAGUAGCCUAUAAGCAGUCAUAGCUGAUGAAUAAUAAGUUUCUGCGUUGUCGCUGAUCACAGCGACAACGCAGAAACCUCCAGUUAAUUUUCCGCGUUUUGUUUACGCGCCUCCGAGAAAAUACCGAGAACUCCUUUCGUGGAAAAGUCGUGUUAGGGAUCGUCGAAAAUGCCUGCCGAGUGUUAACCGAAGAUUACCCGAUCAUUUAUUUGCAUCGCGUGAUCACCCGGGCGCUCGGGCGUGAAAUGCGAUUUUGCACCGCAUCACCGCGAUCAUCGAUUUGCGAAACCGGUGAGCACAGAGGGCAAUAUAACUCGUUGACCUGACUUAGUCCUCGAAGGUGAUAAUCAUUUACAUCUCGUAACUGCCUUCAACAAGUGAGACGUGCUUCGCUCAGUUGACUAGGAGGACACUGAGUCUAUAGAAGAGAAACAAGACGGCCAGGACAUCGACGAUAGCAACAUGGCCGACCCAGUGAGAUUGAGUGCCCCGGAUGUGUACAAAGACUAUGCUGUCAGGAGGCGCAGCUUUGAUGAUGCCCAGAGUCGUUUAAAAUGCAGAAAGCUUCUUGGAAUCGGAGGAAAGGAACCUUCGAAGGUAUGUAUUAAAUAGGACGCGUAGGAUACGGUAAUAAAACGGCCGGGUUAUUUUUUUCGCGCGCUUUCGAAACGCAGCCUCGUUGUUACAAUGUACUGUCGCCGUGCGCUCACCGCACUUUGAAUAAGUUUCCUUUCUCAUUAUAAUAUUCAUUUGUCAAGCUGUAAAUCCUGACAUGGGUCUUGCUUUGAUGAUUACUUUGGCCGUACUGGCUCAGCUCAACCGAAGAAAUUUUCAUUCCUCGUGCACUUUCCAAAUCUCAAGCGAACGUAAUUCGCUCGUUUGUGCUAAGAGAAGAAAUGAUUUUUUUGUUGUUGUUUUUUGUAUUUUUCUGUCCUUUUCCAUUCACACAAUGACCUUGUCAGAGGCUAUGAGUGUUUGACAGAACUUUUGCUUUUGAAAUGACUCUCCGAAUAUUAGUAUCAGAUUAGAGAACGUUUUCAAGCGUGUUUUCUUACGUUUUGUCUAAGGAAAAAAAAGGCCCGUGUUCGCUAACUAUCGUCGCCGCUACGGCAGCUGUAUUCAUGAUUUUCACCAUAUCGCUUGGGGUUUCAAGCUGUACUUGAUUACAUUAUUUGUUCUCUGAUAAAUGAGAAUAUUGCUGUGCAUUGGCGGCUUGUGAAUAAAUUCACCAGGAUGUACGAGAGUUUAUUGUUCUAAAUAUUAUUAUCAUUUUGCUUUGAAUAGAGCAUGGCGUUCUCUUCAAGGAACCCCGUGCUCGAUCUGUUUCAAGAUUUCUCAAAACUGCAGGAAGACCCUAUAAACUGGCUAACAAUAGCCAAACUUUUGUUUGGUAAAUAAUGUUACAAACUUCUUCGAUGUUUCGCAUGUGUCAUUAACAUGUUGUCGAGAACAUUAAACCAAAACCGCGAAUUUUGAACUCAAUGCGCCCAAGUUCAUAACCAGUGUCUCGCAAAGAUUUUCAGCCAGGUUAAUAUGCAUUCAGGUUUUUAAUCGAAAAAAGUGACAGCGCAGAAUUAGAAAAAGGCCAACUAGCGCAUCCUAUUAAGCUAGAAAUACAUAAAUAUACAAUUGUUUUACUUUCUUGACAUCCCUUGCCUUUGUGUGUUUAUUUUUUUUCCCCUUGCAGUACAGUUUCUUUAGAUCAAAAGCCUGAAAUAUUUACAGCUUGUCUUUUCUGUGACAUGGCUGUCGUUUUUUUUUCUUAAUCUAGACUAUCUUACUUAGUUUAAUGUCUGAAAAUUUUAAGUUUCAAACUUUAAAAAAAAUGAAAACAGGAAAUCUUGGUUUUCGUCCGGUUUGACAAUGAGUGAAAUUUCAAUUUUGUAUCAAAAGAGAGCUUUUAAGAGAGCUUUUUAUAGCUACCAAACAAUAGUACAUUUCUUUUUGAAUUGCUAACUAAUAACUCUGUCUUUUAAUUCAUGGACAGAGAUCACCCCAGGGCAGAUAUGAGAUAAAAAGUGCGAUUUUGUCCCACAGUUUUUUUAUUACUUGUCGAUAAUAGUAUUUAUUUUUUUCUUUCAAACCGGAUUUCUACCUUUUACCUUUUGUCUCAGCGAUGUAAAUCUCUUUAAGUCGAUCGCUGAUUGAAGGUCUAAGUAAUAAUUCACAUUAGUGAUUCCUCUUGAAAGUGGUGUUUACGGCCACUUAAACCUGCUUAUGUACUCGCCAAAGCUUUCGCAAAGGUGUGCUUUCAGCCGUGCGGUUUUAUUUUGUGUUUGUGCCACCUUGAGGUUUAGACAGAGAGUUGACACCUUGAUUAUGCCUGUUUUGUGUUGACACUGUAUUUACGUAGCGAUACGUCUGUAUACACGGCUGUAGUUCUUUUAAUGACGAAGUUCAUUUGACUUUUUGAUGCCAAAAAUCGCUGAAAUGAUCUGAAUUCAAACAAAGAUAUCACUCACACCUGCUAACGACCGUAAACCCCAACAUUAUCAUGUUUUGAGAGAAUCAUAGCGCCCUCUGUUGGGAAUUUCCUAAAACGGUUGAACUCGUGGAAUUCGUUAACGCGUUUGCAACUAACGAAGUUUCGCUUAUUUAUGUUGGCUUUUUUGUUGUUGCGUAUUAAACAUUAGUUGGCUUCACACCUGAAGCAGUAAGCAGUUGACUCAAGUGCACUUGAAAAUCUCAAGUCGCACUUUAAUUUAGAGCUUAGCACCUGAUGGCAAAGAGACAAACUAACUUCCGAGUUAGGAUUUCGAGUUGGAUUUUCGAGUUAGGAUUUC